CCUACGGGGGGCAGGAGUGAGGAAUAUUGGUCAAUGGACGAGAGUCUGAACCAGCCAAGUAGCGUGAAGGAUGACUGCCCUAUGGGUUGUAAACUUCUUUUAUAUGGGAAUAAAACGUUCCACGUGUGGGAUUUUGUAUGUACCAUAUGAAUAAGGAUCGGCUAACUCCGUGCCAGCAGCCGCGGUAAUACGGAGGAUCCGAGCGUUAUCCGGAUUUAUUGGGUUUAAAGGGAGCGUAGGUGGAUUGUUAAGUCAGUUGUGAAAGUUUGCGGCUCAACCGUAAAAUUGCAGUUGAAACUGGCAGUCUUGAGUACAGUAGAGGUGGGCGGAAUUCGUGGUGUAGCGGUGAAAUGCUUAGAUAUCACGAAGAACUCCGAUUGCGAAGGCAGUUCACUGGACUGCAACUGACACUGAGGCUCGAAAGUGUGGGUAUCAAACAGGAUUAGAUACCCUUGUAGUC
This 460-nucleotide ribosomal RNA is filed under the name uncultured bacterium. Its description in RNAcentral is "partial 16S ribosomal RNA". It matches the Rfam family "Bacterial small subunit ribosomal RNA", at positions 338 to 795 of the family's 1533-position model. The record is from RNAcentral.